This 400-nucleotide unclassified non-coding RNA is filed under the name soil metagenome. RNAcentral's name for it is "partial contains 5.8S ribosomal RNA, internal transcribed spacer 2, and large subunit ribosomal RNA". The stretch from base 1 to 122 matches the Rfam family "5.8S ribosomal RNA", at positions 35 to 154 of the family's 154-position model. The record is from RNAcentral.
GAUGAAGAACGUAGCGAAAUGCGAUACUUGGUGUGAAUUGCAGAAUCCCGUGAACCAUCGAGUCUUUGAACGCAAGUUGCGCCUCAAGCCAUUAGGUUGAGGGCACGUCUGCCUGGGCGUCACAUAUCGUUGCCUGAUGCCAGUUUCCUCGUGAUGGGUGACUGUGCAGGGCGAAUGAUGGCUUCCCGUGAGCAUUGUUGCCUCAUGGUUGGUUGAAAAUUGAGUCCUUGGUAGGGAGCGCCGUGAUAGAUGGUGGUUGAGUGACGAACGAGACCCAAUCAUGUGAGACCCCUACCGAAUUUGGCCUUCAUGACGCACAUGCGUCUUUGGAACGCUCAUGACGAGACCUCAGGUCAGGCGGGGCUACCCGCUGAGUUUAAGCAUAUCAAUAAGCGGAGGA